Non-coding RNA from Echinops telfairi (small Madagascar hedgehog), 414 nucleotides. The record is from the annotation of a RefSeq genome assembly. NCBI's taxonomy places the organism in Eukaryota, Metazoa, Chordata, Mammalia, Afrosoricida, Tenrecidae.
AUGCUGGGCCACCUGGCUCUUCUCCUGGUUCUCCUGUUACCUGCUGACCAGUCAGACAUCAGAUUAGAGCAGCCGGCCUAUGUCCAUGGGCGAAGGCGCAGCUCAGUUGCCCUGCAGUGCCAGGUCCGAUCAACAGUCAGAUACAUCCACUGGUAUCGGCAUCAGGAAGGCAAAGCCCCUGAGAGGCUCCUCUAUCUUGACAUGUUCCAGUCAGAUAUACGUUGGGACUCAGGCUUGAAAGCAGAAAAAAUCACAGCCAUGGAGGCAAAGGACGGCCGCAGCUGCACCCUGUGGGUGCAGAAGCUGGAGAAGAGUGAUGAGGGUGUGUACUACUGUGCUGCCUGGCAUCUGCACAGUGCCACGUGCAGCCUCAGCCCAUGCACAAAAGGAACUGGCAUUCCCUACUCCAUCUAG